GUGCGGACUCCGGCCGCAAAACCUUGACCUAUAGGGGAGGGUCUGGGUGGGCGUCUGUCCGCGGUGGCGGCUCUGGCGCGGGACGCGGACCCCACUUCACCAUUGUCUUAGUCCGCCUCAUUGUCCGCCUCCGUGGCUCUCUAACCAUGGCAACCCCUCUCAAUGACCCCACUGGACAGAGGGGCAGCUCGGGACAGAGGGGCAGCUCGGGACAGAGGGGCAGCUGCUCGGGACAGAGGGGCAGCUGCUCGGGACAGAGGGGCAGCUGCUCGGGACAGAGGGGCAGCUGCUCGGGACAGAGGGGAAGCUCGGGAUAGAGGGGCAGGGGCUCUGGCGCUUCUGGGCUGAGAGGCUCUGGCGCCUCUGGGCUGAGGGGCUCUGGCGCCUCUGGGCUGACUGGCGGCACUGGCGCCUCUGGGCUGACUGGUGGCACUGGCGGCCCCUGGCUAACUGGUUUGCACUGGCGGCCCCUGGCUGACUGGCGGCACUGGGCGGUGCUGGGCAGACGGGUGGCUCAGGCGGCGCUGGGCAGAUGGGUGGCUCAGAUGGCGCUGGGCAGACGGGAAGCUCCGGCAACGCUGGAGAGACGGGUAGCUCAGAUGGCGCUGGGCAGACGGGAAGCUCCGGCAACGCUGGAGAGGAAGGCUCUGUCAGCGCUGGACUAAGGAGCUCUGGUGCCUCUGGAAUGAGGGGCUCUUGCGCCUCUGGAAUGAGGGGCGGGAGCUCUGGUAGCGCCGAACAGGCGGGAGACUCCGGCUGCGCUGGAGAGGAGGAAGGCUCCGGCAGCGCUGGACAGGCGGGAGCACCUGUAGGGGUGAGACGGAGAGACAGCCUGGUGCGGGGGGCUGCCACCUCCACGGCUGGUGCGUGGAGGUGGUACCGGAUAGACCGGACCGUGCAGGCGCACUGGAGCUCUUGAGCACCGAGCCUGCCCAACCUUACCCGGUUGAAUGCUCCCGGUCGCCCUGCCAGUGCGGCGAGGUGGAAUAGCCCGCACUGGGCUAUGCAGGCGAACCGGGGACACCGUGCGCAAGGCUGGUGCCAUGUAAGCCGGCCCAAGGAGACGCACUGGGGACCAGAUGCGUAGAGCCGGCUUCAUGGCACUUGGCUCAAUGCUCACUCUAGCCUGGCCGAUACACGGAGCUGGUAUGUACCGCACCGGGCUAUGCACCCGCACUGGGGACACUGUGCGCUCCACAGCAUAACACGGUGCCUGCCCGGUCUCUCUCACCCCCCGGUAAGCACAGGAAGUUGGCGCAGGUCUCCUACCUGGCUUCGCCACACUUCCUGUGUGCCCCCCCCAAGAAAUUUUGGGGGCUGACUCUCGGGCUUCCAUCCGCUCUGCCGUGCUAGCUCCUCAUAAUGCCGCAUCUCUGCUUUUGCUGCCUCCAGCUCGGCUUUGGGGCGGCAAUAUUCCCCUGGCUCUGCCCAGGGUCCUUUCCCGUCUAGAAUCUCCUCCCAAGUCCAUCUCUCCAAAUAGUGCAGCCUCUCCCACUGCUGCUGCUGCUGCUCCUGCUGCUGCUGCCUCUGUUGCUUCUCCUGCUGCUGCUUUUGCCGUUGCCUGUUACCACGCCGCUUGGUCCUGUUGUGGUGGGUGAUUCUGUAAGGGUUUUCCUGUGGUGAAGGAGAAGUGGACCAAAAUGCAGUGUGGUGGUUAUUCAUGUUCUUUAAUAAAGGAACUAGACAUGAAAUAACUAACAAAACAAUAAAUGUGCGAAAACCUAAACAGUCCUAUCUGGUGCAAACACAGAGACAGGAACAAUCACCCACAAACACACAGUGAAACCCAGGCUACCUAAGUAUGAUUCUCAAUCAGAGACAACUAAUGACACCCGCCUCUGAUUGAGAACCAUACUAGGCCGAAACAUAGAAAUACCCAAAACCUAGAAAAACAAAC
Molecule: long non-coding RNA, 1897 nt
Organism: Oncorhynchus tshawytscha (Chinook salmon)
Lineage: Eukaryota; Metazoa; Chordata; Actinopteri; Salmoniformes; Salmonidae
Source: Ensembl